Molecule: ribosomal RNA, 251 nt
Filed under: uncultured soil bacterium
Lineage: Bacteria
Description: partial 16S ribosomal RNA
Rfam family: Bacterial small subunit ribosomal RNA
Source: RNAcentral
AGGACGAACGCUGGCGGCGUGCUUAACACAUGCAAGUCGAGCGGUAAGGCCUUUCGGGGUACACGAGCGGCGAACGGGUGAGUAACACGUGGGUGAUCUGCCCUGCACUCUGGGAUAAGCCUGGGAAACUGGGUCUAAUACCGGAUAUGACCUGCUCUCGCAGUGGGGGUGGGUGGAAAGAUUUAUCGGUGCAGGAUGGGCCCGCGGCCUAUCAGCUUGGUUGGUGGGUAAUGGCCUACCAAGGCGACGAC